GGGACACGGCCCAGAUGCUCUGGUCCCAGCAGAAGUGACUGGCGGGGACCAGGUGAGGUGAUGAGGUCUGUUAGUGGGGCUGAGGGAAGGGGUCUUCCCCAGACUGAGGGGGUCACAAGUUUGGGGCCGAGGACACUGGGGUAUCCCCUCGGAGGAGCGGGAAAGAAGAAGCUUUCUCAGGGCUGUGAGGACCGCGGACCCUUGCCCACUUCCACAGAAACUGUCCCAAUCCCCGCGGGGAAGGAACAGCCAGGGAUCCGGUUACUGGCAUUGGAACCUGCUUUUGGAAAAAUUUCACAUCUGUCAGCUGAUGAAGACACAACGCCCAAAUACGCUGGCCGCAAGAGUCAGAGUGCCACUCUCCUGGGACAAAGAUGGUCAUCUAACCACUUAGCUCCUCCAAAGCCAAUGAGUUUAAAGACAGAAAGAAUUAACUCGGGGAAAACACCACCACAGGAAGAUAGAGAGAAAAGUCCUCCCGGGAGACGUCAAGACAGAAGUCCAGCACCCACUGGAAGGCCGACUCCCGGUGCAGAAAGACGGGGGGUGUCUGAAGACGGAAAGGUGACCUCGGAAACCUGGGUCACUCUACACUGGCAGCAUGGAAAAUUCAGAUUCAGAUGAAGUUCCACUUAGGUCUCAUAAGAGUACUCAAUUUGUUAUUCGAAAUAGACCUAGUAAUUUAUUAACCUAAUUAUGUUUCUAUAGAUAAAACUUUGAAUUUCUGCAGACAUGUCUUUAAUGCUAUAAAAGCAAAUAAAUUGAAUUGGGUUUUAAAAAGCAAACAACUUGAAUUGGGUUUUAAAAAUCAAUUACUUUCCCGAGCUCCGUAAUUGGUAUAUUUCUGCAGAGUCUUUAAAAGAAUUGAUCUACCUUGUAGUGCUGAGCUCAGGGCUGUUGGGUGAGCCCUGGGGUCUUGCUGGAAAUUGUGGAUGGCUGAAGAUGGCUUCGUGCUCCCAGCCUUUGGGCUCGAGGCAUUGCCGGCUGCAGGGACCUUGUGACAAGGGGGGCCUCUGACUGUCUUUGCCCCAGAUUAUGCAUCCAUCUUCCCGAAGUCCGCAAAACUCCGGUGGCAGAAAAUCACCAGUGCAGGCUUCCCAGGCCACCACGCUGCAGGAGCAGACGGCAGCAGCCAGAGGAGCUGGUGAGCAGGGUCGAGGGCUCCUAACUGUUUCCAUGCUUCCUGUAAAGUGGGGGGCUUUCUUGUGGAUACGCGUGAGCAGAACAUCUUACUACGGCAAGGACAUGUCCUUCAUGGAGCUGCCUAAUUUCUGACCACUUUUGUCCGAUUCCCUGGUUGGGUCCUCACCUGGGAGUCUUGCCGACACCCCUAGCCCUCCACCCCACACACAGCCCACAUGCCGGUCUCCAGGGGCCGUGGCUGGAGAUUCCGAAUCCUACCGGCCACUUCCCCUGAGUACACUCCCAGCUGAAGGCGUCUGGCUGGGCCUGGGCGGACUCGGGGGCUUUGUUCCCUUUUCUCCGUUUGCCCGCCCAUGGCGUUGCUGCCACGCUGAUGGAGCGCCCUCUCAUCCGGCACCUGCCCGGCCUCUUUCCUGAGCCCAGCUCUGUCCAUGCAGAUGUGGGUGCUUUCUGCAUUGGGGGUCCCACCGGGAGGAGCCAACAGUACCCCUGGUAGAGUUGGGAAAGAACUCCUUCCUCACGUUACUGCCAGAAAAUGACCAUAGCAGCUUCACAAACCCCGCAGGAACCUGUCUUCCUAAAGAAAUGGAGCCCAUGAGGUGGCCGAGCCUCAGGUGUGGUCCUUAUGCACAGCACAGCCCAAGCCUGUGGGCACAACUCGCCCUGGGCUGCCUGGCACCUGGACUCUUUCCUAUCCUCGGCCCAGGCCUGUGUGGCCCUGUAGGGCCAAACCCGACACUGUCUUCCUCCUGGGUCCGCUCCCUGGGCCUCCUGCACCCCAGACUGCUUCAUGGCCUCUGCAGGGAGCUUCACAGAGGUGAGACUGGUGCCAUCUGUCUGCUUCAGACCACCCCAGGCUCUGCGUACCCUCACAGUCCCCUCUGCGCUCCUCUACGGGGUGGGGAAGCCCUUCCCAUCAGGUCAGCACCAGCCUGGCCACCUUGUUUCUGCUGCCCCCUCCUCUUCAGGCCCCCAGACCAGACUUUAGUUACUUGCUGCUGCCGGGCAGAACUGGAGGCCUUGUCUUGCACAACCUCCACAACCUCCAGGCAUCAUCUCAGCUGACAGUGACGCCAUCCUGGGGAAGACCCCCCGGAUCCCGGGCUCUCCUGGAAGCCUGUGAUGCUCCUUCACCACAGCCCCUGUCCCUUCAUAGGUCCCAUAAGCCAGUGGUGCAGGGAUCUGGCCUUUCUCUCCUGUGUCUGCCUCCUGCAGAACCAUGAGCAGCUUCAGGGCCGAGGCAGUGCCUUUCCAUCCGUGAAUCUCCUGAGCCAUCAGAAUACUCGAGAGAGAGUGAUGCCCAAGAAAUACUGACUGAGUGUAUUCAUGAAAGAAUUAAUGUUCUUACAGGAUCACUUGUUGUUGAACUGACCUGACAUGUGUAUAGUGAUCUCAUGAACAAGAGGGAAGCUGUGCAUCCAUUCACUUCAAUUGGAUUUAGCAAUCGCAGUAGGAUAAUGAUAUUUCCACAAUGUAUAUGCUCUGUCCCUUUAAAUUUAACUUUUUGCUUUUUAGACAGAAGCUCAUCAGUCUUAGGGAGUUCUGAAGGCGGAUUUCUCAGCCGCGUUCAAGCUGACGAGUUCGCCAGUUCUGCCCCAGACAGUGCAGAGCGGCAGGUAGGUGGCUGAGUGGCUUCUGUGAGGGCGGCCCACCCGGUUCCCCUCAGGGAGACCUGAGAAGGUGACCUUUUCGUCCUGGGGAAGUGAGAUUCGGAGCCGGUGUCAUGAGAUGGUUGCAUCUUCCCAUCUUCUCAACAAGAACAGAAAAUUAAGAUGAUUCCAAAUGUCUCUUUAUUUCCUGAAGUUCAGCCUUUCAAACAGAGACUUUUUUUUAUAGAUUUAAGUUGGUUGCAUUUAGCACAAACAAGAUUAAUGUUUUUUAUGACUUAAGAGUUCCCCUAGUCAGAGUUUCAUUUUUUAUCAUUUUGAUUUACAGUUCUCAGUUGACAUUAAUAGACUCGAAGGCAAGAAUAGCAAACAUACUUCUAAGCCCUAGCUAGGGGCCGACUUGUAACAUGCUAUAUUUUACAAAAAAAAAAAGUCAAUAAAAUAAAAUUAUUUUCUCUACGCCAGGAAA
Molecule: long non-coding RNA, 3219 nt
Organism: Homo sapiens (human)
Lineage: Eukaryota; Metazoa; Chordata; Mammalia; Primates; Hominidae
Gene: TCP10L3
Product: t-complex 10 like 3 (pseudogene)
Source: Ensembl